RNAcentral lists this long non-coding RNA (2057 nucleotides) under Fragaria vesca (wild strawberry). RNAcentral describes it as "long non-coding RNA (FVES_LNC004997)". Lineage: Eukaryota; Viridiplantae; Streptophyta; Magnoliopsida; Rosales; Rosaceae. The record is from RNAcentral.
AUCGACUACAGGUAUGGCCGGUAUCAUCCGCGGAAGGAAUAGGUGAGGCGGCGGCAUCUGUACCCCAGAUGACCCACUAUCCGAAGAAGUAGGAGCUGGAGUGGGCGCCCGGUGUAUCUCAGGCAUACGGGGUGCAGACACCUCCGUCUGAGGCUGAGCAAACAACUGCCUCGAGGAAUGAGGGAAGCCCCGCUGCCUCGAUGAAGGGGGCACCUCCGGCUGCCUCUGCGCCGUCUGCAGAAGGCUCGCAUGUCUAGCUGUCAUGAGGCCUUGAAACGACGUCUGAGGGUUGCUAGAUGUUCCCUCAGACGAUACGGACCUUUGGCCCUUCGAACCCUUCGUCGAUCUAAUAUUACCGCUCACCCUAUUUAAAAUAUUAAUUUGAAUCAAGGCCACAAAAUCAAAAAAUGCAAACUCAUUUUAAAAAUGUAAAAAAUAUAUACACUUCCUAAAUACUAAUUUUCACUUCCUAAAUUUUACACAUAUACACUUCCUAAAUAUACACUUCAUAAAUAAAAAUAUACACUUCCUAACAACACCACAACAUUGCAAUUGGCCGGAAAAUCAAAGCAAACACAAAAUACAAAACAAAUAUAUACAUUUCCUAAAUACUAAAUACAAAUAUACACUUAUUAAACAACAAUAUACACUUCCUAAAUACAAAUAUACACUUCCUAACAACACCACAACAUUGCAAUUAACCGGAAAAUAAAAGCAAACACAAAAUAAAACUAAAGCUCAAAAACGUACUCGAGGAGGAGGAGGGAGGACCGGAGCAGCAGCAGGAGGAGGCCGGGCGGAGAGGGAGAGGGAGCGGAGGCCGAGACCGGGAGAGGGAGAGGGAGAGGAGGCGGAGACCGGGAGAGUGAGAGGGAGAGGGCGGUGACCGGGAGAGGGAGAGAGAGAGGAGGCGGAGACCGGGAGAGUGAGAGGGAGAGGGUGGCGCCUGAACGACCGAGGGAGCGGAGGCGGAGGAGGGGAAAUUCGGAGAGGGAGAGGAAAAGGUGGCUAGGGUUUACAACCAGUCGAGCGCUGGGUUAUACCCGAACACUUUAGCCGACGAAAUAAUAAUUUCGUCGGCUAAAGGUAAUAAUUUCGUCGGCUAACCUAACACUUUAGCCGACGAAAUAAUUAUUUCGUCGGCUAAGAUAAAAUUCGUCGGCUAAACCUUUAAAAUUCGUCCGCUAAACCUAUGAAAUUCGUCGGCUAAACACAAAAUUCGUCGACUUUAUAACUUUUUAUACAUUCGUCAAACUGUGACUGCUGCUCGUGAUGAUCAAACUUUAGAACGAAAAUCCGACCGUCAGAUCUGACCUUCAUGAUAAAAUACAUGUAUGGGAAAUAAUUCAACUUGAUCCGACAAGGUUAAGGGCUCGAUCCGGACGGUCAAUCCGUUAAGUCAAACCCCUAAACGCACGGAAAAGGUCAUUGGACUGUCUAAAUUACGUAUUUUGGCCGGACCUUCAACUGAAAAUAGUUUCAAACCGAUGAGACGCAGCAAGUCCUAUAAAAAUUUUAUGCAAAAUAACCACCGAAGAUAGGGCUACCCAUAGGGAGAAAGAAUGGAAAAUUGCAUUGACCGCAACUAUCGGCACCGAGACAUAACCGGAAUACCGUGAUUUUUCAACUGUAGACGUAUUUCACCAUUCUGGUCAUGUCUUAUUUCAUGACUUUUUUACGUUUGAAGGUUCUACGUAUAGUUUGUUUUUGAAACGGAACAUUUACUUAACACUCGGUAAACAAGUUAUACGACAUUAGUAAGCAUGUUGUGAUUGUGAUGAUCAAACUUGAGAAAAGGAAAUCCGACGGUCAGAUCUAACCAUCAUGAUAAAAUACAUGUAUGGGAAAAAAUUCAACUUGAUCUGACAAGGUUAAGUGCUCGAUCCGGACGGUCAAUCCCGUAAGUCAAACCCCUAAAUGCAUGGAAAAGGUCGUUGGACCGUCUAAAUUUCGUAUUUUGACCGGACCUUCAACUGAAAUUAUUUUCAAAUCGAUGAGACACAAUAAGUCGUAUAAAAAAUUUUACGCAAAAUAAACCACCGAAGAUAGGGCUAUAG